GACCCCUCUGGAACCAGUACACACGCCCAAGGCGGGCCCACAGCAUAUGGGGAGAGGCGCGGGGCGGGGGAACGGGAGGGGAAUGCUGUGUAUCCAAAAUGCAAUUACAGCUCCUGCUCCUCCAGCAAGUCCACACGCCAAAAGCAUCAGCGGAGAGAAGCAAGACUUCUAGAAACAAGAAAAGUGAAGUGGAUUUAGAGCUGGCCGGGACCCAAAGGUCUUGCUCCUUCCGCGUUGGAUGUCGGGAAAUACGCAAAGGAGCCCGUUGUCUGGACGAGGCAUUGCCAGGAAGCGAAGGGAAGGGCAAUAUUGCAGAUCGCUAGGGUGAGCAUCUACCCCGACCAGGGGAGGCUGGAGCUUUCUCUGCAACGCUGGGCUGGUCUUGCAGGUGAGUGACUGCCCAGGACACGCCGGAGCAGGGGCUGUAGGUGAGUUUUCGCUGGAGGGUGGAUGCGACCAAGUGCCCUGUGGACAUUAUCCUAGAGACUGGGGAGCCUUCAGAGGAUUGGGAGCAUGACUAAUCUUAUUUGCUUAGCAAGCUCCCGCAGGCGGCAGAGAGCAGAGGAAGGAGGGUGAGGGGGGCCGUUAGUGGUUGUGGCCAUAAGCACAGAGGAGGGAGCAGUGAAAGUAGGGGUAGAGAAGAGGGGACAGACUUAUGAGAAAAAAAAGACAGAUAGCCUCCAAAGUCUGUGAUCUGAACCACAAAUUACCCUACUUAGCCACCUCCUUCAAAAAAUGCAAGAUAAAGUGAUUUUUUUAAGUCCUUUAAGUUAGGAGAGUCAUACCUGCAGAAGACAUUCUGCCUGCUUCCCUUCCCCUUAGAUCCUCGCGGAGACGCCGCCGGUGCUGUGGCUGAGCGCUUGAGGGCACUGAAGCCUCAGCUCAGCUGCUGGGAGCCGUUUAUUUCGCAAUUUCUCCGAACAUGUGACAGCCACACAAAAUAUUAUCUGUACUGAUUCUUUUUUGACGCAGUAUCUUGUAGGACCACAGUCAUGUUUCGUGGAGUAUUUGGAGACAAAGGACAACACUACAGACAGACUUGAAAGCCACCGCCUUCUUUCCCCUUUCCAAAGCCACCGUGCUCAAAGCCGGCUCUCCCCGAGAGGGCGCUUGAACUCUCCUUCAGGUUGACUGCAGGUGAAUCAGAAAGCGACAGCGGCAGUCCCAGAGCCCAGAAAACUCCGGGUUCAAGACCUUCACCUUGAUGUUCCUCCAGACACCCAUUUCUGAAGAAUUAUGUCCAGGACUUAGCACAAGCUUGCCAGCCCCUCCUACUAUAUAAUCAUGCAGAAGGCCACCUUAAAAAUGUUUCAAGGUACUGCUAUUCAAAACAGAAAUGAAGAUGUGUAGAAGAUGCCAGUAACCACUUCAUCCUGCUCACUGGCCUUUCUACCAAAAUGUAAUGUCCAUCUUUACAUAGAAAAUGAGAGUAAGUUUGCAUGAGAGCAAAAAUAGAACAAUGAAUUUAUGGAAGGUUCCAUAGCACAUACUAUUUGUGAAAUAUGUUUACUGAUUAAUUCAGGAGAUAGGACACCAUAUAAGACCACACAUAAAUAUAUAUUUUAACUAUUAUUUCCCUGUAAAAUUACUGUCAAGCAAAUUUAACAAUGAGAUAUAGCACCAUGGGUUCUUUGGCUGGUCACCAUGAUUUGUUCAGUUACCUUGGACAAAAUAUCUCAGUCUUCCUGGGCCUUUGAGACCUUGAGGUAGGAAAGGGAAUGGCAGGGUGAAGCAGACAAAAAGUCUGAGCUAGCUUGACUAGCAGAACAUGGAACAAUGGCCUGAGACUGAUAAGCAAGUUUCAAUAUGAACUAGCUGCAAUGAGAUCAAACCAAGACGGCGUCCAGUUUGACUGGGAAUAGGCCUCUAACUUCAUUAAAUCUCAUUUACAUAGUAAAAAUCACACCCAUCAGUACCAUAACAGUUUGUUGUCAUGACAACCCCCAGAAAAGACCUAAAGUCCCCCUCUUUGAGAAUCUUCCCAGAGAAAUCAUGACUAUUCUGCCCACUGCUUUACAUACCUUUUGUACUUCCAAUAAAGAGCUAACACACUGCCGGGGUCGGGGUCGGAGGGGUGCUGCUCUGCCUGUGGUUUACAGUCUGUACCUUCAACCUCUGAAUAAAUCUGU
Molecule: long non-coding RNA, 2129 nt
Organism: Manis pentadactyla (Chinese pangolin)
Lineage: Eukaryota; Metazoa; Chordata; Mammalia; Pholidota; Manidae
Exons: 3
Source: RefSeq, a predicted model, not a curated record